RNAcentral lists this ribosomal RNA (496 nucleotides) under uncultured bacterium. RNAcentral describes it as "partial 16S ribosomal RNA". It matches the Rfam family "Bacterial small subunit ribosomal RNA", at positions 29 to 507 of the family's 1533-position model. The record is from RNAcentral.
AUGAACGCUGGCGGCGUGCCUAAUACAUGCAAGUCGAGCGAACGGACGAGAAGCUUGCUUCUCUGAUGUUAGCGGCGGACGGGUGAGUAACACGUGGAUAACCUACCUAUAAGACUGGGAUAACUUCGGGAAACCGGAGCUAAUACCGGAUAAUAUUUUGAACCGCAUGGUUCAAAAGUGAAAGACGGUCUUGCUGUCACUUAUAGAUGGAUCCGCGCUGCAUUAGCUAGUUGGUAAGGUAACGGCUUACCAAGGCAACGAUGCAUAGCCGACCUGAGAGGGUGAUCGGCCACACUGGAACUGAGACACGGUCCAGACUCCUACGGGAGGCAGCAGUAGGGAAUCUUCCACAAUGGGCGAAAGCCUGACGGAGCAACGCCGCGUGAGUGAUGAAGGUCUUCGGAUCGUAAAACUCUGUUAUUAGGGAAGAACAUAUGUGUAAGUAACUGUGCACAUCUUGACGGUACCUAAUCAGAAAGCCACGGCUAACUACGUG